GACGAACGCUGGCGGCGUGCCUAAUACAUGCAAGUUGAGCGAUGAAGAUUGGUGCUUGCACCAAUUUGAAGAGCAGCGAACGGGUGAGUAACGCGUGGGGGAUCUGCCUUUGAGCGGGGGACAACAUUUGGAAACGAAUGCUAAUACCGCAUAACAACUUUAAACAUAAGUUUUAAGUUUGAAAGAUGCAAUUGCAUCACUCAAAGAUGAUCCCGCGUUGUAUUAGCUAGUUGGUGAGGUAAAGGCUCACCAAGGCGAUGAUACAUAGCCGACCUGAGAGGGUGAUCGGCCACAUUGGGACUGAGACACGGCCCAAACUCCUACGGGAGGCAGCAGUAGGGAAUCUUCGGCAAUGGACGAAAGUCUGACCGAGCAACGCCGCGUGAGUGAAGAAGGUUUUCGGAUCGUAAAACUCUGUUGGUAGAGAAGAACGUUGGUGAGAGUGGAAAGCUCAUCAAGUGACGGUAACUACCCAGAAAGGGACGGCUAACUACGUG
Molecule: ribosomal RNA, 497 nt
Filed under: uncultured bacterium
Lineage: Bacteria
Description: partial 16S ribosomal RNA
Rfam family: Bacterial small subunit ribosomal RNA
Source: RNAcentral